Molecule: non-coding RNA, 222 nt
Organism: Pelobates cultripes (western spadefoot toad)
Lineage: Eukaryota; Metazoa; Chordata; Amphibia; Anura; Pelobatidae
Source: the annotation of a GenBank genome assembly
CCUUUGUUGGUUGUCGCUUAGAGGAUAUAUUGAAAGCAGCUGAUUGGUCCACGGAAACUACUUUCCGUAACUUCUAUUUCAAACCAAUCCAGCAUUUCACAGAAGCCGUGAUAUCACAGCUUUAAAAUAGCAUUUAAGGAGUCUUUGAUAAAAUUCAAGGAUUUUACAAUUGUCAUGACGGAAAGUCAUGAUUUUAUUAAAGACACGGAGGCGAGUAUUAUC